UACGGAGGGUGCGAGCGUUGUCCGGAAUCACUGGGCGUAAAGGGCGCGUAGGCGGCCGUGUAAGUCACUUGUGAAAUCCCGGGGCUCAACUCCGGGGCUGCAGGUGAGACUGCGUGGCUAGAGCACGGUAGAGGCGAGUGGAAUUCCCGGUGUAGCGGUGGAAUGCGUAGAUAUCGGGAGGAACACCCGUGGCGAAGGCGGCCAACUGGGCCGGACCUGACGCUGAGGCGCGAAGGCGUGGGGAGCGAACGGG
This 253-nucleotide ribosomal RNA is filed under the name uncultured bacterium. Its description in RNAcentral is "partial 16S ribosomal RNA". It matches the Rfam family "Bacterial small subunit ribosomal RNA", at positions 524 to 776 of the family's 1533-position model. The record is from RNAcentral.